GAAGGCUUUUUUCAUGAAUGCCCUAACACACCAUCCACUCUUUAAAGGAUUGUUGUUGUUGUUUUUGUUUUUGUUGUUGUUAUUAUUAUUAUUAUUAUUAUUAUUAUUAUUAGCAUUAGCAUUAGCAUUAGCAUUAGCAUUAGGAGGAUGGUGAAAGAGAACUGAAGAAACACAAAUUUUAAUGUUGAAUUCCAGCAUUAAAAAUAUAACAAAGUUUCAAUUCAGAAUAAUUGGGAUUAUAGAAGGUAAAGGUUUCCCCUGAUAUUAAGUCCAGUCAUGUCUGACUCUGGGGGGUUGGUGCUCAUCUCUAUUUCUAAGCCGAAGAGCCGGUGUUGUCCAUAGACACCUCCAAGGUCAUGUGGCCGGCAUGACUGCAUGGAGCGCUGUUACCUUCCCGCCAGAGCGGUACCUAUUGAUCUACUCACAUUGGCAUGUUUUCAAACUUAACUAAUUAACUUAAUUAACUAACUUAAUUAAUUAACUUGAUUAAUUAACUUAAUUAAUUGGGAUUAUACCCUAACGAAUACUAUUGCCAUGUGUGUCUACCAAAGACAAAUAAGUUAAGAAGCAGAAACCCCUAAAAUUCCUUACUUAGCAUUAAUGAAAAGCAAAAAAGAGAGAACAUUGCAUAUUGCAUUGGUACCUAUUGAUCUACUCACAUUGGCAUGUUUUCGAACUGCUAGGUUGGUAGGAGCUGGGGCUAACAGCGGGCGCUCAUUCUGCUCCCGGGAUUUGAACCUGGGAUCUUUUGGUCUGCAAGUUCAGCAGCUCAGUGCUUUAACACACUGCGCUACCACCAGGGGCCCCUAAAAAUGAAGACACCAAGGCAUUUCUGCUUCCAGGUGCCACAUGGAACUGCACUGCUCAGGGGAGGAAGGGAGGGAGGGAGGAGGAGAAGCAGCAGACAGGAGGCUUGUUGUCACAGCUUUCGUGGGUAGCCAGCCUCUCCCCUCCCAAUAUCCCCAUUGUCUUGACAUUAUAAGAGGGUUUUGCAAAACCAGUCGCUCUCGUUGUAACGGUGUAAUAACAGUGAGGCCGCAGACCAUAUUUUAGUUCUUGGGGACUACUGGUGGUCCAUGGACCACAAGUUGGGAACCACUGCAUUAAGGAAAAAGUUACUAGCUUAUGGUCUAACUUACAAGUGAUUAGUAUAGGGAGUUUUAUGCUUCAAUGGAAAUUAGUAUCUAAAUGGAUAUUGUGAUUUGGCGUCCCAGUCCAGUACUCUGACCACAACAUCACGAGGUCUCUGGUUCCAGUCUUUCCUUACUGCAGUGUUCUACAAAUAUUCUGCAUUUAUGGAAGUGUAUCAGCACCCACUCAUCCCUCAAGAAAAUAAGUGCUUUGCAGUGCCAAGUGGAGAAAGGAUCAUUUUUGAAGUUCUAAAACCAUUUAAUUUGAAACAGGACUAAGCUUCAUAUGCCCUGCUCUCAGUGGCAUUUAUAGGCAAGAUCAAAUGCAGAGCCUGGGAAAGCAUCGUUUCCAGAAUUCACCUGGAGAUGGUCCUUCAGUUAAAAGAGUGGCGUGAGGUUCACUCUCAGUAUAACAUCAAACCAAGAGCCUCUGUACUUUGUUUUUCCAGAAUGUCAAAAAGAGCAACAAAGGUUCAAUCCCAGUGUUUGUGGCAGCAUUGAGGAUCAUGUUUCCACUUCAAUAUAGCUGCUAUAAAUAGGUCUUGCAAGGCCAUCUGAUUGCACCUGCAUCAGAUCACCUAUUUCAAAUUGACAGGUGAGAGGGCUAUAUUUGCCUACAGAUAUACACAAUAGAAUUAUGAGUCCAUAUUUUGUUGAGAGAUGAUUUUAUGGAUCGCUGUUCCUUUUUAGGCUAAAUUUGUGACAGAUUCUUUUCGGCCAUUGAUUUGCUUUAUGGUUGGGUAAAGAUCUUUUAAUAUGGCAGGGACGUCUAUGGAAAGCUCCCUGUCUUCCGGAAGGUGUUUUGGUGGGUUUGCGGGUAUUUUGUGUGACCGCAAAUCAGUAUGUUGAGAUCCUUGACCCUCUGCCAAGGUGACUAAUGUGCCCCUUCCCAACUUUACUUAGUUGCCAAUUCCUGGACUAGUGCAAGUGUGGGAAAUAUUUGGCUCUGUGGGUUGCCAUUGGGUUACAACUCCCAUCAUGCCUGACUGCUGGUGUUGUUGGCUGGAGCUGCUGGGAGUUGUAGUGUUUGACUCCUAUCACAUCCAAUGGUCUAUGGUCAGUGGAGGUUGGUGACUCUAGCAUAAGUAGAGCAGGGGAUCCCCUCAACUUUUGACACAGAUCUAGGACGAAACUGUUCCAGGUGCUGAAUCUGUUUUGAGGAUAUAGUUCAGCACCUUGGACAAUGCACUCACAAUUAAUUUCAAUGAAUACUUGGAGUGGAUGCUCAAUCCCGUUGCCAUUGGAGCUAUCCACUCCUGGUCUGAAACAGCCAACCUCCAUAUCCACAGUUUCUGCAUCCAUGGAUUCCACCAUCCAUGUCACAUU
This is a long non-coding RNA of Anolis carolinensis (green anole), 2456 nucleotides long. The record is from Ensembl. Lineage: Eukaryota; Metazoa; Chordata; Lepidosauria; Squamata; Anolidae.